Long non-coding RNA from Hyaena hyaena (striped hyena), 589 nucleotides. RefSeq lists it as uncharacterized. Lineage: Eukaryota; Metazoa; Chordata; Mammalia; Carnivora; Hyaenidae. The transcript has 3 exons. The record is from RefSeq and is a predicted model, not a curated record.
CCGCGUGGCCGCGCACGGAACUGCGGGCCACCCGGCGCCGGGCCCGCUGAGCAGAGCGCAUGGCUCGGUGCUCCAAAGCUCUCGGUUCAGCACAGCGCUGGCACACGAGUUGAGAGAAGAAAUAGCCAAGCGUAAGAGAGGAGUCUAACAGCCACUAGGUUGAAUAUCAGGAAGCCGAGGCACAGUGGAGGAAAGGAAACCCAUUUGCCCAAGAAGACACAUCUGUACGUGGAAGAACCUCACCUGAAGCAGGGCAGCCAGCCCUCCUCCACGGCGCCUCCACUCAGGGGCUUUGGAUGGGACAGAUGUGGACAUGUACCCCGGCUCCAACCUUCUCCAGCAAGUGGCCUCAGCAAACCUCUUCCCCUCUCUGGAUCCCAAUUCUUUCCAUUUCUAAGGUGGAGUGAAUGAACUGACCCACCGCACAGGGUGGUGGCAAAAAGAAAGCGCCCGUCCGUGGGAAAUGCACUCAGCAGAGAAUUGAUGCACUCGGCUCAUGACAUGAUGUCCCCGGUGGUUGCCUAAGCCGUGGUGAAGAGAGCAGAGCGCAGGCUCUCGGCGUUGCCUGUGUGCCCAACUUCUGGGGCAA